AUACGUAGGGUGCGAGCGUUGUCCGGAAUUACUGGGCGUAAAGAGCUCGUAGGUGGUUUGUCGCGUCGUCUGUGAAAUUCCGGGGCUUAACUCCGGGCGUGCAGGCGAUACGGGCAUAACUUGAGUACUGUAGGGGAGACUGGAAUUCCUGGUGUAGCGGUGAAAUGCGCAGAUAUCAGGAGGAACACCGGUGGCGAAGGCGGGUCUCUGGGCAGUAACUGACGCUGAGGAGCGAAAGCAUGGGUAGCGAACAGGAUUAGAUACCCUGGUAGUCCAUGCCGUAAACAGUGGGCGCUAGGUGUAGGGUCUUCCACGACUUCUGUGCCGUUGCUAACGCAUUAAGCGCCCCGCCUGGGGAGUACGGCCGCAAGGCUAAAACUCAAAUGAAUUGACGGGG
Molecule: ribosomal RNA, 397 nt
Filed under: uncultured bacterium
Lineage: Bacteria
Description: partial 16S ribosomal RNA
Rfam family: Bacterial small subunit ribosomal RNA
Source: RNAcentral